Long non-coding RNA from Tigriopus californicus, 1197 nucleotides. RefSeq lists it as uncharacterized. The transcript has 2 exons. Lineage: Eukaryota; Metazoa; Arthropoda; Copepoda; Harpacticoida; Harpacticidae. The record is from RefSeq and is a predicted model, not a curated record.
ACAAGAUGGGCAUAGGCCAUGAGGGGCCAGAAGAGCAACAAGAGCAGGAGAAUGGGGAUCACCUGGAAGUCGUUAGAAGGGAUCACCUACCCACCCCCAAAGAGGCAACAUGCCAAUAUGUGCGACUGGGAUGGAGCUACCAGUACAUUGGCCAUGAGAGGAACAACAAACUGCAUCACCAUGUUCAUACGCAACCUUGCAACGUGGCAACAAGUAACAACUAACAACUUCCCUGCCAAGUCCGGGCUUUUUUUGAAAACGUCCGGGCUGUCAAAUCCUGAUGAUUGCGCUCCCCAUUAUUCUGCCCAAAGUUCUAGUUGGUCACAAGCACUCGCUCCUCGAAUCCUCGAGUCCUCGAGUCCUCGUCCACGUCCAGAAUAUGUUUAAACCAAACAAUGAACCACAAGACUCGGACUGACGGCCGACAGAUUCUCCAGAUGGCUUUUCAGUGUCCGUACUGUCCGGCUAAAGGUUCAUUUAACUUGAGUAAUCCAUUCUCAAUGAAAUGUAUUUUGCUAUCGUAAUGAGGAUCCCAGCCAUUGCGGACUAAUUAGUUGAACAAAAAGGAUGACAACUAUUUGGAUGACACCUUCCUCUCCAAAUCGGCCGGCUCCUUGAUGGUCAGUCAGUCUGGACCCCGUUAAACGCGUCCGUGAGAGACUGGUCGUAAUUCUUUCCUUACAACCCAUCCAUCUACUUAUCCAUCCAUUCUCCCGUGGUUUUAACAAUGAAAGAACCAAUCAUCAUCAACUGACAAUGGUACCAUGGAGGUACUUGACCAAUUUGGAUACCUAGAUCCAACCCCAAGCCGACAGUGACAAAAGGUCACUGGAAUAUUCUCAAUGGCAGGUCGACGAUCAAGUCUACAGUGUACGUGGAUCAUAGGUUCGAGAUUGAAGAACGGGAAGAAGGAAAACCCAUGAAUUAAAAAUCAAUUCCAAUCAAAUCAGUGGUUAUCCAGGAAUUCAAGGAUAGUAAGUGAAACCUGAUCUGGAAGACAGCUGUCUGGGGUCGUAGAAUACCCCCUGCCAUCUGAACUCACACCAAAACCAUCCUUACCAUGCUAGACGAACGACCACGAGGGCGAGCAGAACGGACGACCAAGUUCAAUUUGGGUACCCACUUUUGAAGGCGAUUCCUCAAUCUCGGUCGUCAACUUUCAAAGACCCUGGCAAAUAAAUGUUGGCAUAAAACCGA